AACACAAAAAGACAGCAAAAACCGCGCCAUGGGGUUGUGAUUGGUUGAAAAGUGGGCGGAGCUAAGCCCUGAUUGGUCGUGCUUCAAAAUUGAAAAAUCUCGAUUUUUU
Non-coding RNA from Caenorhabditis elegans, 109 nucleotides. NCBI's taxonomy places the organism in Eukaryota, Metazoa, Nematoda, Chromadorea, Rhabditida, Rhabditidae. The record is from Ensembl.